This 172-nucleotide unclassified non-coding RNA is filed under the name soil metagenome. RNAcentral describes it as "partial internal transcribed spacer 1". The record is from RNAcentral.
ACUGAGUUGCAAAACUCCCACAACCAUUGUGAACCGUACACACAUAUCGUUGCUUCGGCGGCGGCCGCUCCAGCGGCCUCCCCACCCCCUCGGGGGAGGCAGCCCGCCGGAGGGCCGUAUCCAAACUAUAUCUAUAACAGUUGCCUCUCUGAGUACUUAUACUAAUAAGUCA